RNAcentral lists this ribosomal RNA (253 nucleotides) under uncultured bacterium. RNAcentral describes it as "partial 16S ribosomal RNA". It matches the Rfam family "Bacterial small subunit ribosomal RNA", at positions 524 to 776 of the family's 1533-position model. The record is from RNAcentral.
UACGUAGGGGGCAAGCGUUGUCCGGAUUUAUUGGGCGUAAAGAGCGUGUAGGCGGUUUGGUAGGUCCGCUGUGAAAACUCGAGGCUCAACCUCGAGACGCCGGUGGAAACCAUCAGGCUAGAGUCCGGAAGAGGCGAGUGGAAUUCCUGGUGUAGCGGUGGAAUGCGCAGAUAUCAGGAGGAACACCAAUAGCGAAGGCAGCUCGCUGGGACGUUACUGACACUGAGGCGCGAAAGCGUGGGGAGCGAACAGG